This 426-nucleotide long non-coding RNA is filed under the name Triticum aestivum (bread wheat). RNAcentral describes it as "long non-coding RNA (TAES_LNC021053)". The record is from RNAcentral. Lineage: Eukaryota; Viridiplantae; Streptophyta; Magnoliopsida; Poales; Poaceae.
CACCAUCGACGCGUCGCUCAGCAUGGUCAUGGGAGACGACAUGGUCAAGGUCAUCGCGUGGUACGACAACGAGUGGGGUUACUCCCAGAGGGUCGUCGACCUCGCCGACAUCGUCGCCGACCAAUGGAAGUGAACGCCGGACGGCGGCAUUAUUGCCCUGUGAAGUGACUCCUCUCGAAAUUUUCCCCAGCCAUCGUCACGGAUGAUCGAUUCUUUGUAAUGAGAAUUCGAAGUAUCGAGCUCCCAACAGCUUCUUUUUUUUCCUUUCUUUUCUUGUUCUUCUUUUUUCUUUCUCUGAUUUUUCAGUGUCCAGACACGGAUUAUAAUAGACUUCCUGCAAAGGAAGUCUCAACGCUGUGCAUCUGUAAUAUAUACUAUCGUUUGCCAGGUUCUGAUGUAGAAUUCAACUUGUUCUUCGAACAUUUC